Long non-coding RNA from Pogona vitticeps (central bearded dragon), 1848 nucleotides. The record is from Ensembl. NCBI's taxonomy places the organism in Eukaryota, Metazoa, Chordata, Lepidosauria, Squamata, Agamidae.
AUGCUAAAGGCGCUUGAAGCAAAAAAAAAUAAAACAGCUUUGAUGACCCAUCGCUGGGAAACUGCAUCUCCCAAGAUGCAACAGGGCUGGGUGUGGCCUUCCUCCCCGCAGCAUCAGCACCAGCUGGGUAGCAUCCUCCAGAGAGAGACAGAGAGAGAGAGAGAGAGAGAAUGCAGGUGCCCAGCAGAAGAACGGCUAUUCCUGGAAUAUCUCCGGCCUGCCCAGAAAAUCUGCCCUGCAGCCAUCCGAAGCGAUUUCUCCCCAGCUCCGAUCAUCUGGAGUUUCAAGGCCUUGGCAGGAUCUGCAGAGACAGGAAGGGCCGGCUUCUGGACCAUCGCCUCCCGGACCGCUCUCGAGGUUCCCCGCGAGACGCCCCCCCAAAACCUGCAAACUUUUUUUUUUCCAAGCAAGGUUUGAAGUUCGGGGUGUGCGCCGCCUCGUCCUCCAGACGCGGGUGGCGCCUCCCGACCCAGCAUCCUUCCAGUCGUCCGACUCAAGGGUCGGUUCCUGCACAGUCAGGGUGAUUGGCUGCCGACGAGAGAGACCCGUCGGAGAAGGUGGAUCUGAUUUACUGGACGUCUCUUCCUCCUUCCUUUCCCUCUGCCCCUCUGCCAGAGGCAGCAGCUGGGCAUGCCUGUGGGCACCGGCUGUGGUACCGGGAAGGGCCGCCCUUACUUCUCUGGAAUCGGUUUGAUUUUUCUUUUCUCUCUGCCGGAAAGGAAAGGAUCGGCUGGAUUUCCUCCCUCCUGCCAUUCCCUGGCAUCACCACCUCCUUUCUUGUAGGAGCUUCUCCCUUGAUCCAUGGCUCCCCCAGAAGCACCAGUGCGGACCCCUUGCUUAUAACUCCCUGGUCCCAGAAGAAGAAUGAGGCUGAUCUGGAGGAGCGGAGAACCCCUUUCCUGCAUCGUCUAUCGCCUCUCUCCCCCAUCGUCUAUCGCCCCUCCGAAGCUCGUGGGCCUGCUUUCAAGCAGCUAGCACCAUCGUCCAAAGGGUCAAGGCGAGCCGUUUCCACCGACGGGCUCGGCUUUCCCUCCGAUUUCUGAAAGGGCCGGCCGUCUCUGGCUUUUUAUUUUUCCUUGCGGGAGACGUAUUUCGCACUCGUACCUGUGAGAGCUCGAACGUGACCUUCCACGAGAUGGAUUUCACAUGGAAGCCAUGGGGAGCCGUUUGGUUUUUCGGCUGAGGAUGGGGGUCUCUGCCUCCUCCGGCUGGCGCCUUCCACGAGAUUCCUUCUGAUCAUUUCCUACGAUCCUCGCUUUUUAACAUUUUUGAUGCAUGAGGCCAUAACGGGGCGCUUUCUCAGCUUUUGCUCCCGCUGGCUUGGCCUCGUGGUGGAGCGAAGCGCAGAAAUCCAGGGACUGGACUUGAUGAUUUAGGAGACCCCUUCUAGCUCUGCAGUUCUUAAGAGGAUGAUGGGGAUUCUCUAACCUGGGAAAACAGCUUUUGAGGGAGAUAAGCCAAAAUAUUUGACCUUUUCUCCCCUUCCAGAGUCAUACACUAUUCCUUCUCAGGUGGCUGAAUUUUAAAAUAUCAGAAACGCUGGCGCCAAACCCUCCUUGCUACUUUCUCACCUCCAAUUCCUUCCUUCCGAUUCUAAGCUUCCGCUUUCCGUGAAAGGGAGGGCGCUCUGCGCGCGUUCAGAGGCACCCUUUGCUCGGCCGCCUGGGACACUGCCCCUGCUCGAGCAACGCCACGGCGUGGUCUCAAACCGAACACCCACGCUCCUAUCCUCCGCGCACAGAUGCAGCGUGGGUUUUGUGGGUUAAAACGAAGACAAAGAUGAACACCAGCCAACGCAAGGCACAACCACCCAAUAAACACUGAAACAUUUGCUAUAUAUAUUUUGAA